Molecule: ribosomal RNA, 492 nt
Filed under: uncultured bacterium
Lineage: Bacteria
Description: partial 16S ribosomal RNA
Rfam family: Bacterial small subunit ribosomal RNA
Source: RNAcentral
AGUGAACGCUGGCGGUAGGCCUAACACAUGCAAGUCGAACGGCAGCACAGUAAGAGCUUGCUCUUACGGGUGGCGAGUGGCGGACGGGUGUGGAAUACAUCGGAAUCUACUUUUUCGUGGGGGAUAACGUAGGGAAACUUACGCUAAUACCGCAUACGACCUACGGGUGAAAGCAUGGUAUCUUCGGACCUUGCGCUAUUGAAUGUGCCGAUGUCGGAUUAGCUAGUUGGCGGGUUAAAGGCCCACCAAGGCGACGAUCCGUAGCUGGUCUGAGAGGAUGAUCAGCAAAACGGGAACUAAGACACGGUCCAGACUCCUAGGGGAGGCAGCAGUGGGGAAUAUUGGACAAUGGGCGCAAGCCUGAUCCAGACAUACCGCGUGGGUGAAGAAGGCCUUCGGGUUGUAAAGCCCUUUUGUUGGGAAAGAAAAGCAAAAGGUUAAUAACCCGCUGUUCUGACGGUACCCAAAGAAUAAGCAACGGCUAACUUCGUG